RNAcentral lists this transfer RNA (71 nucleotides) under Marmota marmota marmota (Alpine marmot). It matches the Rfam family "tRNA". Rfam says of the family: Transfer RNA (tRNA) molecules are approximately 80 nucleotides in length. RNAcentral also lists the same sequence under 1 other name. The record is from Rfam by way of RNAcentral. Lineage: Eukaryota; Metazoa; Chordata; Mammalia; Rodentia; Sciuridae.
UGGGGUGUGGCUCAGUGGCAGAGCACUUUCCUGGCACGUCUGAAGCCCUGGGUUUGAUCCCAGCACUGCAA